AUUGAACGCUGGCGGCAUGCCUUACACAUGCAAGUCGAACGGUAACAGGUCUUCGGAUGCUGACGAGUGGCGAACGGGUGAGUAAUACAUCGGAACGUGCCCAGACGUGGGGGAUAACGAGGCGAAAGCUUUGCUAAUACCGCAUACGAUCUAAGGAUGAAAGCAGGGAACCGCAAGGCCUUGCGCGUUUGGAGCGGCCGAUGGCAGAUUAGGUAGUUGGUGGGAUAAAAGCUUACCAAGCCGACGAUCUGUAGCUGGUCUGAGAGGACGACCAGCCACACUGGGACUGAGACACGGCCCAGACUCCUACGGGAGGCAGCAGUGGGGAAUUUUGGACAAUGGGCGAAAGCCUGAUCCAGCAAUGCCGCGUGCAGGAUGAAGGCCUUCGGGUUGUAAACUGCUUUUGUACGGAACGAAAAGGCUCUGGCUAAUACCUGGGGCACAUGACGGUACCGUAAGAAUAAGCACCGGCUAACUACGUG
This 482-nucleotide ribosomal RNA is filed under the name uncultured bacterium. RNAcentral describes it as "partial 16S ribosomal RNA". It matches the Rfam family "Bacterial small subunit ribosomal RNA", at positions 30 to 507 of the family's 1533-position model. The record is from RNAcentral.